CCUACGGGAGGCAGCAGUGAGGAAUUUUCUGCAAUGGGCGAAAGCCUGACAGAGCAAUACCGCGUGAGGGAUGAAGACUUACUGAGUUGUAAACCUCGGUGCCUUAAGGAAGAAGAUCUGACGGUACUUAAGGUGGAAAGCAUCGGCUAACUCCGUGCCAGCAGCCGCGGUAAGACGGGGGAUGCAAGUGUUAUCCGGAAUUACUGGGCGUAAAGCGUCUGCAGGUGGUUUUAUAAGUCUGCUGUUAAAUCUUGAGGCUCAACCUCAAAUCUGCAGUGGAAACUAUAAGACUUGAGUAUAGUAGGGGUAGAGGGAAUUUCCAGUGGAGCGGUGAAAUGCGUAGAUAUUGGAAAGAACACCGAUGGCGAAGGCACUCUACUGGGCUAUUACUGACACUCAGAGACGAAAGCUAGGGGAGCAAAUGGGAUUAGAUACCCCAGUAGUCCUAGCCGUAAACGAUGGAUACUCGAUGUUGGACGUAUCGACCCGUUCAGUAUCUUAGCUAACGCGUUAAGUAUCCCGCCUGGGGAGUACGCUCGCAAGAGUGAAACUUAAAUGAAUUGACGG
This 567-nucleotide ribosomal RNA is filed under the name uncultured bacterium. RNAcentral's name for it is "bacterial SSU rRNA". It matches the Rfam family "Bacterial small subunit ribosomal RNA", at positions 338 to 916 of the family's 1533-position model. The record is from RNAcentral.